GGAUAAAAAAUUGAAAAAUAGUUAAAGUUAUCAAAAAUAUAAAAAUUAUAAAAUAAUUAAAAAAUUGUGAGGGGCAAAAUGGGAAAUGCACCCAUAUAAUGGUGAGGUGGCAACAACACAAUUACAAAAAUACCCCUCCUAGGGGCAAAAUGGGAAAUUUAUAGGGCAUCAACUUUAAUAGUAGUAUAUAGAAACUUAAUUGAUUUUUUUUUUAUUUCCUUUUCAUCUUCAUCUUCUUCCUCACUCUCUUUUUUCAAUCUCCUUCUAACAUCUUUUUUUCCAGCAACACAACAAUCUCUUCUUCUCUUCUUUCAUGGUUGUUCCAAUUCAUCCCCUUCUUAUCAAUUUUCAAUUUUUGGAUCACAGCAACAACACAACAACAUCACAUCAUUAACAACAACAACACAAAAAUUUUCUUUAACCCAAUUUCAAACCAGAAAAACAAAAUCAAAUGGAAUUUGAAUCGGAAACAACAACAACUUCUUUAAAAACAAAUCAUCAAAUCAAAAAUCAACCCAGAUGGCUUCCUCUUCCAAUCGAAAAUCAAACCUAAGUGGUUAAAAAUCAAUUCCAUGUAUGAAGAAUCAAAAACUCAUAUUCAAAAAUCCUCUCUUUCAAAAUUCGAAAAUUCUCUCUUUCAAUUUCUUGAUUGUGUUGUUGUGUUGCUGUUUCUUGAUUGGAGGGUAUGAUUUGGCAGAAAAGAAAUAGAGAGAAGAGAAGAGAAAGAAGAAGAAAAGGAAUAACAAAAAGAGAGAAGGUGGGAGAGAAUAGAAGGAAGAAGAGAAUGAUGAAGAUAAUAGAAGGAAGAAGAAAAGAAAGAAGAUAAACAGAGAAGGUGGGAGAGAAGAGAAGAAAAGGAAGAAGAGAGAAGGUGAUUUACGCUAGAGAAGAAGAGAGAAAAAGAAAUGUGAUUUUUUUUUUAAUUUAUCAUUAAGGGUAUUUUAAGUAUUUCAUCUUUUUAACAUAAUUUUAAAAACAAAAAAUAAAAAAUUAUGACGUGUCAUUGCCAUUUCACCCAUCACUACACAGUCAGCGUGCCACAUCAGCUCAUUAAUCCAAAGAAUCUUCAUUUUAAAAGGGGGAAUCUCCAAGUUUUUUUUUUUUUAUAGGGGGGUAUACCAAAAGUCUCCCAAAUGGCAGGGGGGUAAAAGCCUAUUAACCCAAAAAAAUAUGAUUUUUUUUCCUUCACACAUAUUAUAUACUUCAUCCGUCCCAAAUUGUAUGACGUUUUGGGCAUUUC
This 1240-nucleotide long non-coding RNA is filed under the name Medicago truncatula (barrel medic). RNAcentral's name for it is "long non-coding RNA (MTRU_LNC005744)". The record is from RNAcentral. Lineage: Eukaryota; Viridiplantae; Streptophyta; Magnoliopsida; Fabales; Fabaceae.